ACAGAUGCAAGAAAAACAUCCUCGCGCUUUCUGCCUGUCUGAUUGUGGCAGCCCAGAUUGAAUGGGGGAACACAGGG
This is a small nucleolar RNA of Bos taurus (domestic cattle), 77 nucleotides long. Ensembl annotates it as Small nucleolar RNA SNORA31. NCBI's taxonomy places the organism in Eukaryota, Metazoa, Chordata, Mammalia, Artiodactyla, Bovidae. The record is from Ensembl.